ACGCACGCUGGCGGCGUGCUUAACACCUGCAAGUCGCACGGAAAGGCCUCUUUCGGGGGGUACUCGAGUGGCGAACGGGUGAGUAACACGUGAGUAACCUGCCCUUGACUUUGGGAUAACUUCAGGAAACUGGGGCUAAUACCGGAUAGGAGCUCCUGCUGCAUGGUGGGGGUUGGAAAGUUUCGGCGGUUGGGGAUGGACUCGCGGCUUAUCAGCUUGUUGGUGGGGUAGUGGCUUACCAAGGCUUUGACGGGUAGCCGGCCUGAGAGGGUGACCGGCCACAGUGGGACUGAGAUACGGCCCAGACUCCUACGGGAGGCAGCAGGGGGGAAUAUUGCACAAUGGGUGGAAGCCUGAUGCAGCAACGCCGUGUGCGGGAUGACGGCCUUCGGGUUGUAAACCGCUUUCGCUCAUGACGAAGCUUUGUGUGACGGUAGUGGGUAAAGAAGCACCGGCUAACUACGUG
This 466-nucleotide ribosomal RNA is filed under the name uncultured bacterium. Its description in RNAcentral is "partial 16S ribosomal RNA". It matches the Rfam family "Bacterial small subunit ribosomal RNA", at positions 29 to 507 of the family's 1533-position model. The record is from RNAcentral.